Molecule: non-coding RNA, 74 nt
Organism: Potamilus streckersoni
Lineage: Eukaryota; Metazoa; Mollusca; Bivalvia; Unionida; Unionidae
Source: the annotation of a GenBank genome assembly
AACUGCAGUAGCUCAGUUGGUAGAGUGUUGGACUCGUAAUCCAAGAAUCACAGGUUCAAUAUCUGCCUCUGUCG